GAGGGUAUAGCUCCAGCGGUAGAGCGCAUGCUUAGCAUGCACAGGGUCCUGGGUUCAAUCCCAGUACUUCCA
Molecule: transfer RNA, 72 nt
Organism: Camelus ferus (Wild Bactrian camel)
Lineage: Eukaryota; Metazoa; Chordata; Mammalia; Artiodactyla; Camelidae
Rfam family: tRNA
About the family: Transfer RNA (tRNA) molecules are approximately 80 nucleotides in length. Their secondary structure includes four short double-helical elements and three loops (D, anti-codon, and T loops).
Source: Rfam